This 285-nucleotide unclassified non-coding RNA is filed under the name uncultured fungus. RNAcentral describes it as "sequence contains ITS1". The record is from RNAcentral. Lineage: Eukaryota; Fungi.
GUAUGGAUUUUAAAGGCACAAAAAGCCUAUAAGCAACAUUCUAUUACAUUUCAUGGGGUAUAUGCAAAAAAUACAUAGACUAGAAACUCUGAAAAAGAGCUGGCUUUCCGCACAGCAAUUCUUCAAAAAUCCAAAGAAGAAAUAAAGCUUCCUUGAGAGCUGUUUCACAUCUACAAAAGGUGCACAGGUGGUUUAGAUGGAGUAGGUGUGCACAUGCUCCUGAGGAACCAGCAACAACCCAACCAAGUUUCAUUAAUGAUCCUUCCGCAGGUUCACCUACGGAAA